Long non-coding RNA from Rhodamnia argentea, 318 nucleotides. RefSeq lists it as uncharacterized. The record is from RefSeq and is a predicted model, not a curated record. The transcript is spliced from 3 exons. Lineage: Eukaryota; Viridiplantae; Streptophyta; Magnoliopsida; Myrtales; Myrtaceae.
GGAAAACCGACAAGAUGUGAAUGAGAAUUACAGCAUUAAGCUGGAAAAUCUAUGGAUAAAAAGGUAAGAUAUUGUAAGGCAGUUCUAGUAUCACACAACCUAUUAAAAACUAUUAUCAUCCACUAAUUCGUCAAUGCUUGUGAGUGUCACCAAACUUAUUGCCAGUGGGAGAAACGCUGAGCCAAUGAAGCACAGACUACGAUAAACAUUCAAAAAAGAAACACCUUUGGAUUCUGCUUCAGCAAUUCAAGCGUACCCGGAGGGCAAUCGCGCCAUUCUGUGAACUGCACUCAAACAGAAACCCCAAUAUUGUGAAGG